Molecule: ribosomal RNA, 1335 nt
Filed under: Saccharothrix mutabilis subsp. mutabilis
Lineage: Bacteria; Bacillati; Actinomycetota; Actinomycetes; Pseudonocardiales; Pseudonocardiaceae
Description: bacterial SSU rRNA
Rfam family: Bacterial small subunit ribosomal RNA
Source: RNAcentral
AGCGGCGAACGGGUGAGUAACACGUGGGUAACCUGCCCUGUACUCCGGGAUAAGCCUGGGAAACUAGGUCUAAUACCGGAUACGACCCCAUGGGGCAUCUUGUGGGGUGGAAAGUUCCGGCGGUAUGGGAUGGACCCGCGGCCUAUCAGCUUGUUGGUGGGGUGAUGGCCUACCAAGGCGACGACGGGUAGCCGGCCUGAGAGGGUGACCGGCCACACUGGGACUGAGACACGGCCCAGACUCCUACGGGAGGCAGCAGUGGGGAAUAUUGCACAAUGGGCGAAAGCCUGAUGCAGCGACGCCGCGUGAGGGAUGACGGCCUUCGGGUUGUAAACCUCUUUCAGCAGGGACGAAGCGCGAGUGACGGUACCUGCAGAAGAAGCACCNGGCUAACUACGUGCCAGCAGCCGCGGUAAUACGUAGGGUGCGAGCGUUGUCCNGGAAUUAUUGGGCGUAAAGAGCUCGUAGGCGGUUUGUUGCGUCGGCCGUGAAAACUUCACGCUUAACGUGGAGCCUGCGGUCGAUACGGGCAGACUUGAGUUCGGCAGGGGAGACUGGAAUUCCUGGUGUAGCGGUGAAAUGCGCAGAUAUCAGGAGGAACACCGGUGGCGAAGGCGGGUCUCUGGGCCGAUACUGACGCUGAGGAGCGAAAGCGUGGGGAGCGAACAGGAUUAGAUACCCUGGUAGUCCACGCCGUAAACGGUGGGUGCUAGGUGUGGGGGGCUUCCACGUCCUCCGUGCCGCAGCUAACGCAUUAAGCACCCCGCCUGGGGAGUACGGCCGCAAGGCUAAAACUCAAAGGAAUUGACGGGGGCCCGCACAAGCGGCGGAGCAUGUGGAUUAAUUCGAUGCAACGCGAAGAACCUUACCUGGGCUUGACAUGCACCGGAAACCUCCAGAGAUGGGGGCCUCUUCGGACUGGUGUACAGGUGGUGCAUGGCUGUCGUCAGCUCGUGUCGNGAGAUGUUGGGUUAAGUCCCGCAACGAGCGCAACCCUCGUUCCAUGUUGCCAGCGCGUAAUGGCGGGGACUCAUGGGAGACUGCCGGGGUCAACUCGGAGGAAGGUGGGGAUGACGUCAAGUCAUCAUGCCCCUUAUGUCCAGGGCUUCACACAUGCUACAAUGGCCGGUACAGAGGGCUGCUAAGCCGUGAGGUGGAGCGAAUCCCAAAAAGCCGGUCUCAGUUCGGAUCGGGGUCUGCAACUCGACCCCGUGAAGUCGGAGUCGCUAGUAAUCGCAGAUCAGCAACGCUGCGGUGAAUACGUUCCCGGGCCUUGUACACACCGCCCGUCACGUCACGAAAGUCGGUAACACCCGAAGCCCGUGGCCCAACCCG